GACGUAGGGCGCGAGCGUUGUCCGGAUUUAUUGGGCGUAAAGAGCGUGUAGGCGGCCAGACAGGUCCGUUGUGAAAACUAGAGGCUUAACCUCUAGACGUCGAUGGAAACCGUGCGGCUAGAGUCCGGAAGAGGAGAAUGGAAUUCCUGGUGUAGCGGUGAAAUGCGCAGAUAUCAGGAAGAACACCCGUGGCUAAGGCGGUUCUCUAGUACGGUACUGACGCUGAGACGCGAAAGCGUGGGGAGCGAACAGG
Molecule: ribosomal RNA, 253 nt
Filed under: uncultured bacterium
Lineage: Bacteria
Description: partial 16S ribosomal RNA
Rfam family: Bacterial small subunit ribosomal RNA
Source: RNAcentral